Molecule: non-coding RNA, 2457 nt
Organism: Phascolarctos cinereus (koala)
Lineage: Eukaryota; Metazoa; Chordata; Mammalia; Diprotodontia; Phascolarctidae
Source: RefSeq, a predicted model, not a curated record
UCUAAGUAAUACAAAAAGAAAUAAAUAAAAAGUUAUUUUUAAAAAGAAAAAAAGGCCAUUAUAUUUAGCAAUUAUGAGAUAGUAACUUUGGAAAGAAUAGAUUCAGUUGAAUGAUGAGAUAGAAAGUCUUACAUAAAGUUAAUACAAUGAGAGGAGCAGAAGUGGAGGUAUCUAUUGCAGACAGCCUUCUCAAAGAGUUUAGCCAAAAAAGGGAGGAAAGAUGUAGGAAGAUAACCAGUGGGGAUGGACAGAUCAAGUGAGGGUUUUUUGAGGAUACGAGAGACAAGCUACUGUAACACUUCACAAUUUCAGCUAUAGCCUCAGGGAGCUUUAGGAGGCCUGAGGAGGCAUGAAAAGUUUUUUAAAGACCCUAUGUAAUAAGAGGGAUACAGAGUUGAUUAAGGAGGUAUAAAAGGGGGGCCCUGCUGAAGAGAGGACCCAGUGGAGAUUACACAACCACCCUGUAGUAGACCCAAGCAGAACCCACAGUUUCUCCAUUUCCUCCAGCUUCAUUCAGCACACUGCCUCUCAAAUAUGUUUCUGAAUAAGCUGAGAGGGAACCUGGACUUGGAUCUACUGGACCCACUGUCACAGAGGGGUCACAAAGGUAUGUAUAACCUCUUAAUGGACCUCUUUUAGGAGUCCCGUUAUUUCCAGGCCUGAGAUUUACCUCCCCAUCUGAAGGUCAUGCCUUUCUUACUACAGAAUAUGCCUGUUUGCCCAGCCUCCUCUAGGAAACUCCUCCCUAUCUACCUUGAGCUCAACGUACUUGCCCUGGCAAUUGCAUACAUUUUUGGUGGCUUGGGCCACCUUAAGGGAAUACACAAAAAGAAGCCAUGACAUUCCUCUCUUCUCCCAAGAAAGCAUUUUGGAGAAUAAGACAAUGAGCAAUCAGCUGGGCGCUAAGUUAACCCUGAUGACGAGCUUGCCUAUGCCUGGGCUCCUCCUCUGGCACCACCCCUUAUACCUGAGAGCAAAGCCCUGGCACUAGGACCCUGCAGACAGGGGUCCCGAGCCUGCGCUCUGAAGGGCUGCACCAUUUCACAACUUCAGCUUCAGCCUCAGCAGCCAACAAAGCUGCUGUCACUGCUACCAACACCUCAGUUGACUCUGUUUUGACUUGACUGCUGACCGGCUGCACCAAUGCAGAACGCCCUCCUUUCUGCCCUCCUUUCAAAUCAAGAAGCAACAUCUGAGCACAACUAGAAAAAAAUCUCUUCCAUGGAUCCCACUCAGAGGAGGUAACCAUAGCAACCUGCAGAUGAAAGCAAUAGAGAAGAUGCUCCAGUAACUGCAGCAAGAAGAGACUUCUCAGCAUGACACAACAUAGUCUGAAGGGGAAACUCUCCUGCUCCCAUGGAGGAGAUCUCUCCCAUCCUUGGAGAAACAUGGAAGAAAUCUGGAGCCAAGAAGACUCCAACAGUGGCGAAGUUAGACAGAAUGAUGAAAAGGUUUCUACUGGUUAACUGCCCUCCAUCAAGCUCAGUUUGGGAUACAGUGUCACAAUAGACAAAGUAGUCCCUCGCUCAGCUGGCCUGGCUCCUUCCAGAACACAGUGCCUUGGCUAACAGAUCAAGACUUGUCUGGCCUGAGUCAAGCAGGUUGCCAGGCUGCUGCUCUGAAUUGGUCGGACAGUACUACCAGCUCCAGCGGUUUCUGCUAACAGCUCUGUUUGCUGAGAGAGCCUUUUAUGUCUCUUCAAGCAACCUUCUGAAGCUCCCAAGCUCACACUCUGGGUCAACAUACUUCUGUUACCAGGUAUCCAUUCCCUAAUAUUAAGAAAGAAUGGAAUGCAAACAAAAUAAGAAACAGUAGCAGCACCGAAGGUUUGUAGCCACAAGGCAGCUGGGUAAAGGAUUGUCUCACUGGGCAGGGGGAGAAGAGAGAGAUUUCAACAUUUGAACCUUUUGUGCAAACUCCGUUCUGAUUCAGCAGUCAAUUGAAAAACUAGAUUUGCAACAAAGUAAGCCAGCAGAAAACAAAACAUCAGCUCUCAAAGUGUGCUCAGAUGGUAACUGGGGGCUCCCCAAAACCCUUGCAGGGAGCUCUAGGUGGUCAAAGCUAUUUUCAGAAUAAUACUAAGAUGUUAUUUGCUUAUUAAAGUAUUUCUCCCUUUUCCAACUACAUAUCUCUACAAGGCUUGAUUUUCUUCAUAUAUAUUACUUCAUGUACUUUCACCAUAGACUUCAUUUAUUUCAUAUACACAUUUUCUUCAUAUAAGCUUCAUAUACUUGAUUGUUUUCAUAUACAUAUAACCAAAACAACAUACCACAGUAGACUAAAUGUAGAAGACGAUAUGAAAAUUCAGCAGUCUUUUAUCAAGCUAAACAUUAAAAAGAUUUACAAAAAUAUGUACCGUGCCAUUUGUCUCUUAAAUUUUUUUAUUUUUAUUUUCAGUUCCAAAUUCUCUCCCUCGUUGCAUCCCUUCCCCACAAGCAUAUGAAGUCAUGCAAAACA